Molecule: long non-coding RNA, 2892 nt
Organism: Lemur catta (Ring-tailed lemur)
Lineage: Eukaryota; Metazoa; Chordata; Mammalia; Primates; Lemuridae
Exons: 5
Source: RefSeq, a predicted model, not a curated record
UUAUAAAUAAGACAAGUUUUACACACACACACACACACACACACACACACACACAUUCUCUCUCUAACUAUAGCUGGAUGAUAUAAGAAAGCCACUAAAACAUCCAGUAGUACAUAUAUAAGAAGACAUUAGUGUAUAUUUAAUAUGUUGGUCCUCUGGAAUUGUCAUCAAGGCCCCUCCCUAAGGACAAAGAUCUAUUAACACUGCUCCCCCCAAUCUAUGCCAUUCUGAAGAGUGUUGCCAAGAAAUUAAGCCAGAUAUUUCUAAGCUUGCUAUAAGAUUGUUGAAUUGGCCCUGCUACCUCCUACAUAUCAUGCCAACACCAAUCCUCACCUCAAGAUGAUAAGGGAAGAACAGAAGUGGAAGAGAGAGCAUUUCUAGUUUUCUCUUUCUGCAUAACAAAUGGCUUAAUGGCAAAAUUUAAUGGCUUAAAACAACACAAACUUAUUAUCUCAGUUUCCCUGAGCUCAGUUCAGCUGCAUCCUCUGCUUAGUGUCUUACAAUGCUGAAAUCAGGGUGUCGGUGACACUGUGUUCUCAUCUGGAGGCUCAGCUAGGAAAAGAUACACUUCUAAACUUUGUCAGGAAGUUUACAAAAUUCAGUUCCUUGGUACUAGUAGCCUUGAGAUCCCUUUGGUCCUGCUAGAUGUCGGCAUGAAAUUGAUUUCGGCUUCUAAAAGUUCUCAGGUCCUUGCUAUGUGGUCUCUGCCACGGGCCCUCUCACACUUCUAAUCUCUCUGCCUUCAGGAAGGGAGUGCCAGUUCCUUUUAGUUGCUAAUCUGAUUAGAUCAGGGUCAUUGGCUAUCUCCCUUUUGACUCAAAGUCCAAUAACUAAUAACCUAUUCAAGGAGUAAUCUACCAUCAGAUUCACAGAUUCGGCCCACUCAAAGAGGCAGGAAUCUUGGGGGCCAUCUGAGAAUUCUGCCUACCACAAAGAGAUAUGAUGGGAGAUGUCUGGGAAGCUCUGUGAGUACAGCAAUAGGCUGCCUGAGAUGGGAAGACAAGAAUUUCAUUCUUUAUUGCAGUCCUAUCCUGGUGGCCCCGUUAGACAAGAGCACAGCAUGGUAGGGGAGUUCCGGGGAAGGUUUCAUGCCUAUUCCCUGAAGUUUCUUGCCAUAUGUAAAACUUGCUAUUGGUGCCACGGCAUUUUCUGCAAAGGCAGAAGACUUGAGGGAAUAUCUGGCAACAGAGAGGUAAUAACAGACGCUGGUUUGGUGUGCAUUGGGAAAGAACUCCAUCCCAGUUCUCCAAGACUCUCAUGGAGGGCGGGGAGAUGCCCCACUCUGAGGGAGGUUGGGACAGGGCCUACUUGAGAGGGACUAAAGGGAGACAUGGCUGCCCCUCUUUGAGGGCGCCCAGUGGCUGAGGAGGCUGACAAAAAGCUAAAACUUCCUAAGAAAGCCAUGCACAGCAUCAGUGUGGAGACCAUUAUAUCAUAAGAGCAGACAGAAUCAACUUGAGGUUGAUUGGAACCUUGGUUGCCUCCCCACCACCAGCAGGUGACUGAUUACCCUCGAAAGAUCUCUGCCUCCCCUAUGUCUUCUCCCACUCUCCCAAACCAGGAGGAAGCAAGCUCUGAAACACGGACGAGAAAGAAGUAAGCAGGAUCAGAUCAUUUCUUCUCCCCUCUCCAAAUGUUUCGAGCCACAGUCCUGGACGACUUAGAGAGGGAAGAGGUGCAGCUAUGUCACAUUCUACUUGGCAUUUUAAAAUAACGUGAAGAUACAUCAUGAGAAAACACAAAGGCAUUUCACAAGAACUCAAAGAAGCCAAGAAACAAUGACAACAUAACUGAUUUUGUACAUUCCCUCUAAAAUAAGUGGACUCAUUAUGAGCCUGUGUUGGAAUGUCUACCUCUUGCUUCAAAGCCCUGAUCACUGAUGUUUCUUAGACCUCCUUUGUUUACCUAAGGAAUCACUAUGUAACGCUCUGUGCGAUAUAUUCACUGGCAACAUCAUAGAAGAAAUUCUCUAUUCAGAACAUAAAUCCAUUAUCAGGAGGAAGAUUUGAACAUUCAGCUGCCACAAGCCAAAGAUUUCCAGGAACCACGAGAAACUAGCAGGAGCAAGGAAGGAUGUCCCCUAGAGCCACUGGAGGGAGCAUCGCCUUACUGACAUCUUGAUUUUGAACUUUUGGUUUCCAGAACUGUGAAAGGAAAAUUUUCACCAAGUUUGUGGUAAUUCAUUAUGACAGCCUUAGGAAACAAAUACAAGUUGUAUAACAUAUUCAUAGAUUGGAAGGUUUAAAACUGUCAGAAUGACAAUUCCUCCCAAACUGACCUAUAGAGUCACCACAGUCUUCAUCAAAAUCUUUGCAAGUUGUAGUCAUGGACAAGGGCAAGGUGGACAGACUGAUUGAAAAAUUUGUAUCUAAAGGGCCAAGACUGGCGAACAUAAACUUAUAGAAGAAUAAAAACAAGAUCGGAGGACUUAUUCUAUCAGAUGUCCAAACUGAUUACAGAGCACUGUGACACUGUUACACAGAUAGACAAAAUAGACUAAAUGGCAUGAAAUAGAGAGUCUAGAGUAGAUCUACACAUAGUCACCUGAUGAUGACAAAGGGGACACUGCAGUGCAAAGGGGAAAACAGUGGCCUUUUCACUGGGUUAAUAGAAUUUGCCUAUGGGGAUAAAAGCUUUCUUGAUCUCUGUCUCACAUCUAUAACUGCAGGCUUUAACUGAGUUAAUAAGGAAGGAAAAGUAAUAAAAUGUUUACAAAUUGUACAGUAAAAUAUAAAACUUUUCCAUAUUAUAUAAUUAUCUAUAUUAAAAAAUAAGGAAUCUGUUAAAAAGCUAAUAAAAUUAAUAAGGGAGUUCAGCAAGAUCACAGGAUACAAGUUCAAUACAUAAAAAUCAAUUGAGUUCUACAGACUACAAAAUUGAAUUUUUAAAAAU